GUCCAGUCCAUGUUUUACUAAUGAGUCCAGUCCAUGUUUUACUACAUGCCUGGACUCAUUAGUAAAACAUGGACUGGACCC
Paramuricea clavata is the source of this 81-nucleotide non-coding RNA. NCBI's taxonomy places the organism in Eukaryota, Metazoa, Cnidaria, Anthozoa, Malacalcyonacea, Plexauridae. The record is from the annotation of a GenBank genome assembly.